Long non-coding RNA from Camelus dromedarius (Arabian camel), 492 nucleotides. RefSeq lists it as uncharacterized. Lineage: Eukaryota; Metazoa; Chordata; Mammalia; Artiodactyla; Camelidae. The transcript is spliced from 3 exons. The record is from RefSeq and is a predicted model, not a curated record.
CUGAGCCCCGCCCGGGCUCGCGGCUCCAGCCCGGCCCGGCCCGCCGAGGCGCCGCGCGGCGGUGGCGCCCGAGCCCUCUACCGGUUGCGCUCUGCGCCGCGGCCGCAGCGUGCGCCCCAGCUCGGACCCGGGCGGAUCCGCACCCCCGAGCGCAGCCGACGCCCCUAGAGGCGCCUCCGCCUCCUCCUCCUCCUCCUGGCCUCGCCCGCCCCUCUAGGUUUCCAGAACCUGACAGCUUCCGAAGAGGCACGUUUCGACCAUCACUUCCCUGAUCCUCGCCGCCUCCUCUUAGAUGUGGCAAAUUCUAAGGAGCAGAAACCAGGAGGGCUGAUCCUGCCAGGGAAGGCCUCGGGAAGAGGGAAGCCUGAGCCUGGUUAUGAGCCAGCGGAAAGGACAAUUUCCACAGUGGGACAGAACGAGGUUAGAGGAACGUGUUGCCUCUUAAUAUUCUACAGAAGGUCGCCUUAACCAGCGAGAGUCCCGCUUCCAUCC